AUGAUGAGAGGGUAUUGAGGGAACAGAUGCCCGUCGGCCUGGCCCACUGA
Molecule: small nucleolar RNA, 50 nt
Filed under: Pyrobaculum calidifontis JCM 11548
Lineage: Archaea; Thermoproteati; Thermoproteota; Thermoprotei; Thermoproteales; Thermoproteaceae
Description: PCAsR137
Source: RNAcentral